RNAcentral lists this ribosomal RNA (484 nucleotides) under uncultured bacterium. RNAcentral's name for it is "partial 16S ribosomal RNA". It matches the Rfam family "Bacterial small subunit ribosomal RNA", at positions 30 to 507 of the family's 1533-position model. The record is from RNAcentral.
AUUGAACGCUGGCGGUAGGCCUAACACAUGCAAGUCGAACGGCAGCACAGUACGUGCUUGCGCAUACGGGUGGCGAGGGGCGGGCGAGUGCUAAAUACCUCGCUAUCUACUUUUUAGUGGGGGAGAAAGCGGGGGCUAAUACCCCAAUACUGCAGACGACGUACGGGUGAGAGCUUCGGACCUUCCGCUCUCGCACGAUCCGAUGUCGGAUUAGCUAGUUGGCGGGGUAAAGGCCUACCAAGGCGACGAUCCGUAGCUGGUCUGAGAGGAUGAUCAGUCACACUGGAACUGAGACACGGUCCAGACUCCUACGGGAGGCAGCAGUGGGGAAUAUUGGACAAUGGGCGCAAGCCUGAUCCAGCCAUGCCGCGUGUGUGAAGAAGGCCUUCGGGUUGUAAAGCACUUUUGUUUGGAAAGAAGGGCAGCAGGUUAAUACCUCGCUGUUCUGACGUUACCAAAAGAAUAAGCACCGGCUAACUUCGUG